GUGCAGCAGUCGCGAAAACUCCGCAAUACGCGAAAGCGUGACGGGGCUACCCCGAGUGUCGUCCGCUGAGGACGACUUUUCCACGCUGUAAGGAGGCGUGGGAAUAAGGAGAGGGCAAGUCUGGUGUCAGCCGCCGCGGUAAUACCAGCUCUCCGAGUGGUAGGGACGAUUAUUGGGCCUAAAGCGUCCGUAGCCGGUUUUGUAAGUUUCUGGGUAAAUCCCACAGCUUAACUGCGGGAAUUCCAGAAAUACUGCAGAGCUAGGGGCCGGGAGACGCAGAAGGUACUCCUGGGGUAGGGGUGAAAUCCUAUAAUCCUAGGGGGACCACCAGUGGCGAAGGCGUUCUGCGAGAACGGGCUCGACGGUGAGGGACGAAAGCCAGGGGCGCAAACGGGAUUAGAUACCCCGUAGUCC
RNAcentral lists this ribosomal RNA (414 nucleotides) under uncultured archaeon. Its description in RNAcentral is "partial 16S ribosomal RNA". It matches the Rfam family "Archaeal small subunit ribosomal RNA", at positions 330 to 747 of the family's 1478-position model. The record is from RNAcentral.